RNAcentral lists this ribosomal RNA (603 nucleotides) under uncultured bacterium. Its description in RNAcentral is "bacterial SSU rRNA". It matches the Rfam family "Bacterial small subunit ribosomal RNA", at positions 111 to 747 of the family's 1533-position model. The record is from RNAcentral.
UAUCGCGUAGGGAUCUAUCCAUGGGUGGGGGAUAACAUCGGGAAACUGGUGCUAAUACCGCAUGAUACCUGAGGGUCAAAGGCGCAAGUCGCCUGUGGAGGAGCCUGCGUUCGAUUAGCUUGUUGGUGGGGUAAAGGCCUACCAAGGCGAUGAUCGAUAGCUGGUCUGAGAGGAUGAUCAGCCACACUGGGACUGAGACACGGCCCAGACUCCUACGGGAGGCAGCAGUGGGGAAUAUUGGACAAUGGGCGAAAGCCUGAUCCAGCAAUGCCGCGUGUGUGAAGAAGGUCUUCGGAUUGUAAAGCACUUUCGACGGGGACGAUGAUGACGGUACCCGUAGAAGAAGCCCCGGCUAACUUCGUGCCAGCAGCCGCGGUAAUACGAAGGGGGCUAGCGUUGCUCGGAAUGACUGGGCGUAAAGGGCGCGUAGGCGGUUUACACAGUCAGAUGUGAAAUUCCAGGGCUUAACCUUGGGGCUGCAUUUGAUACGUGUAGACUAGAGUGUGAGAGAGGGUUGUGGAAUUCCCAGUGUAGAGGUGAAAUUCGUAGAUAUUGGGAAGAACACCGGUGGCGAAGGCGGCAACCUGGCUCAUUACUGACGCU